Stomoxys calcitrans (stable fly) is the source of this 2002-nucleotide long non-coding RNA. RefSeq lists it as uncharacterized. The record is from RefSeq and is a predicted model, not a curated record. The transcript is spliced from 3 exons. NCBI's taxonomy places the organism in Eukaryota, Metazoa, Arthropoda, Insecta, Diptera, Muscidae.
UGGGUCCCUAGUAAAAAUGCCACAAAUAAAUACGCAUCUCACAUUACCGAAAACUAUUAAUUCUCUUUCUAUUUACAAUAGUGAAUAUUAAAAUAAGUUUAAGCACGUGAUAUUCUUCUCUUUAGACUAAACGCUUCAUGAUGCCUUAUGUUCACACUGAACGUUUUACUAUUGGUCAUAUUUCAUUGCCACAUAUUUAAUAUGCUCCAAUUGUAAAUGAAGGACAUAUGUAUAAAAACGCUUUAUCAUUUACUUAAUAUGUCCAUCUAACGUUCCUUUCCCAUAAAAACCACGUCUUCCUAAAAUUUCGCAAUUAAUUUGUUCAAAACUUUUUCUUUUUUUUCUUUUCUAAUAUUCACUUUUAUAAAUCUACUAACUAAUUCUAUCUAUACAGAAAUAGCCAAAUAAUUAAAACAAACUGAUUUUUCUUACCCUUUUCUUGGGGCUGUCUUAUAAUAUAAAGAAACGUCCUCAAUAAAAAGCACUGACACAGAAAAUAACCACAACUAGAACUCAAUGACGCUUAAAACACGAUGUUGACAGGUCAGUCUCGAGAUUUGGAAAGAACUUUCCUACUAAAACUUGUCAAAAGCAUGUCCUUAAGUCCUACGCCGGUAACGUUCUUACGUCGUUACGACUAUACAACCCUGCAUUCGUUGCACAGGUGGCAAUUCCUGUUGUACGUCCUACGCUCUUAUAAAGGUUGUGCCACAUAAAAUCAUUAUUGUGAAUGGCAAACAAAAUAGAAAAUUUAAAAAGAAGAAGACAAAGAACGACACCACAACAGCCGCCAAAUAAAUAAAAACAAAAGAAGUUUUAUUAUUUAAAGUGGUCAUCACAAAGCCUGCUAUUUUUACGUAGCCUGCGAAGUAAAAAUUGUUGGGAAAGUCUUGUCUUGUCUUGGCCUUCAUUUGUCAUUGUUGCAACCAAUGCAAAUGCCCAAGGAAUCAAAAGAAAAUGCCAACGCAAAAUCCUACUGUACACAAACAAAUGAAAAAUUUGGCCAAUUUAAAUCUGGAAAUAUCUCAAACACAUGCAUCUGCAAGAAGCUUAUCGAAUGGUCAAGAAAUCAAAUGUGAACGGAAAUCGUAAAAGCCCAUUGCCAAAAUGUUAGUGUUCGUUGUCAAUGUAUCCAUGCCUGUACAUUGCCUGUUGUCGAUUUCGUUGAUGUCCUUAUGCCGUAAAUCCCUUGUCGGCAAUAAUAUAUGUGCACAAAUAACGACAAAAACAAAUGGAUGUCCGUAUACCGCCUGUUGGUAAUGAAGUGUGUAUACAACAAAAGUCUGUAGACGUUAAACCUUGUAUGCAAACUGGAUAUAAGAAUGAAAAUGCGACAUGUCCUGUAGCAAAUGCCUUAUAUGAUGCCUGCAAUCACAAACAUCAAAUGCAAAUGGACAUUGGAAAGUCCACAAUUAGUCAAAUGCCAGCAAUCCGUUUGUGCCCUAUCGUAUGCGACUGAUGUCUAUUUCCUGUCUAUCAGCCUAUUUCGUAGUGCCUUAUAUGAAGAUGUGUAUGGCAGGUAUAAAAUAUGUUGUAUGGGCGAUAACCAGCUGCAAUGCACAACAAAAAAAAGCAAACCUAUGUCUGUCCGUCCGAACUAACCACACAAUCAAGUAUCAAAAGGAACUCUUUCUACAUGCGUGGACCUCUGAAUGGCGAAGAUAAGUACACAUUUCAAAUUCAAUUAUUACAAUCUUCUAAUUCGUUUCUUCUCUUUACAGGUAAUUCUUUUCUCAUACAUUUUCUAAUUUAUUUCUUUCCUUUCUAAAUUCCAGGUCAAUAAUGGAAAAACAUCAAUACAAAAGCCAUCAAAUAAGCUGCUAUGAUCUGACAUCUAUAAUAUAAAUGCAACAUAAUAGUGGCCAGCGCCAUUGAUAAGGACAAUAUACAUAGGUAUGAUGGCUGAAAUCUUGUAACGGAUCAAGUGAUGGUGGAGAAUGGUGUAUAGCUUUAAGAAUUACUUUUAGUUUAACAAUUUCAAAUUAAAUUUAAAAAAAAAAAU